AAGAUGUCAGGAGAACCGCAGGGGCUGCUGGGCUCUGGACCACCUUGGACCACGAAUUUUCAGUAGCCAGGAGCUGUCUCAANCUGCCUCAAGCCAGCCUGGCAAGAUCCUAUGUUCCACGAUAAAUGUCCCGCCCAGUCCUGAGGAGCCACCGGCUAGAGAAUUGAUCCCUCAGCCUGGGCUGGCCAAGGGUGCCUGGGACUUUCUGUACUGGCUCAGCACUGGCCAAUCUAUCCUCUCUUCCUGCCACCUCUCAAUCACUGGCAUCCACGUACAUCUGUGCUGUCACAGGGGAAGCUGAGCCACCAGCAAGAAUUGCCUGGUCCUAUGCCUAAGGACUCAAGACUUCUCCCUUAGCCCCUGACCAGCUGGACUNCUGUCUGCUCUCACCUUGAGGACCCCACCCUGGAUCAAGGUCAUCCCUUCAAUGGCAGAAAUGGCACCAUGACUUNAAGACCUGUGGAAGCUAAUGCUCUUGAG
This 480-nucleotide long non-coding RNA is filed under the name Mus caroli (Ryukyu mouse). Its description in RNAcentral is "lncRNA (MGP_CAROLIEiJ_G0005558.1)". Lineage: Eukaryota; Metazoa; Chordata; Mammalia; Rodentia; Muridae. The record is from RNAcentral.